Mus musculus (house mouse) is the source of this 691-nucleotide long non-coding RNA. RefSeq annotates it as predicted gene, 36319. Lineage: Eukaryota; Metazoa; Chordata; Mammalia; Rodentia; Muridae. The transcript is spliced from 3 exons. The record is from RefSeq and is a predicted model, not a curated record.
GUGGUGGAGUGAGUAUGAAUAUGGGAAUGCAGGCCCCUACAGAGGCCAGAGACAUUGGCUUACUCCUAGAGCUGACUUACAAGCAGUAGGGAACUUCCUGACUUGGAAGCUGGGACUCAAGCUUGAGUCCUUUGCAAGAGCAGUAUGCUUAUAACCAGUGAUACAUCUCCACUGCGCUCCAUUCUGUAACUCUUAAAGUUUUGUAUCUACGUCUUCCAUGGCAGUUUUGCCUUGUGCUGGGAAUGGAUAGGUGAUAAAGAGUUCUCAUGAAGACUGACAAGGAGGAGAAAUGUCUGGGACUGGAGAGAUGGCUGCAUGGCUGAAACCACUCACUGCUCUUCCAGACAACUGGGAGUUCAGUUCCCAGCACCAAUGUCUGAUGGUUCACAGCCUCCUUCAUCUCCGCUUGCAGGGGGUCUGAUAUUCCUCUUCUGGCCUCUUCAGGUACCAGCACAAAUGUGACACACAUACACAAAGACACACAAAUGCACAAAUGAAGGUAAGAAUAAACUUUUAAAAAAAUUAUUACUACUUUUUUUUUUUACAAUCCAGUCGUUGUACCCCUCCCAGUCCACCUUACAGUUCUGCAUCCCAUCCUUCCUCCCCACUGAUUCCAAGAGAAUGUUCCCCACCACCCUCUAGGCCUCACCACUCCCUGGGGCUUCAAGUCUCUCAAGGGUUAGGUGCAUCU